UGUUGUUAGUUUGUAGUUAUGCCUAUGAGGAGCAAAUCAAUAUAUGUGCUUGCUUGCUACUUAUCUCGCCUAAUCUGAUUGUACUGGUUUAUAUUUUCUGUAAAAAUAUACUUAUUAAUCAUAGUCAGUUUGCUAAACAGAAAAAAUCAUAGUUUGUUUCAUCAUUGUAACAACUAAUAUAUUCAGUACAAAAACUGCUCUUUGUAUUUUCAGUCCACCAUCAUUUUGUACAGAUUUAGGCAAUUAAUUUUCUGUACCAUUAGUGAUUAAUAUGGAGUCAAAUUUUAUUUACCAAGUUUUCUUUUGCAUCUCAGUAUUAAGUAGUUUCCAAACCUGGACAGUUUAAUAUGCCCACUCCCAACAAUUCUUAGUACUACUGCAGACUGAAGAGAAGAAGUGCUGAAAGCAUGAUUGCAUUCGCUAUAGCGGGUUCAUUGUGUUACAGAGAAGUGCUUUCCCCAUCAUUUAUGAUGCUCACUGUUUCAUUGUCAAGUUGUGAACUUUUUACCAUCAUUUACUUGUUUGUUCGAAGGAUAAACUUUUGGUUUCUUGAAACUACAAGUAACUUGUGGCAGCUAUUUAGUAAUACCAUUGAUGCUCUGAAAUAAUAAUGUCUGUGAAGUCACAUAAUGUUUUCUAAUGACCUUUGUUGUACAGAUAUUAUCAUCGUAAGAGAAUUAAUAUUUCCUUUUCCUCCUAGCAGAGUAAGUGUUGCUGAUGGAGCUCAUUUGACUUAAUUUCCUACUGAUUUAACCCAUUUUGAGGGGCUUCAGGUAUUUAGCAUGUCAACGAGCAUCAGCUAUGCAAAACUUUCCUUUCGUAGUUUUUCCUAGACAUUCUGGUACACAUCAUCAUUUAUAUAACAUCCCCUGUGUUUCCCAUAGAAUUCUUCAUUUUAGCAAUUUGAUCAACGAUGUCGUAGAAAUAGGGAUAACUGAUAGUUUGCAUGAACGCAUGUAUAUUGAAAUCAGAACGCUAUUUGAAGUUGGUCGAUACUUAGUUUGCUUUUUGUUUCAUUGCCAAUGCAUCCAAAGCUGUAACUUGUUGUAACUCGUGGUUUCUGUCUUCUGCUUACUAGGUAGUGUCUCGCCUACGGACCAAGUUGGAGAAAGUUAAAAGACGCUUUCAGAUGAGAAUGAUCAUGCUUCUGAUCUUUUGUAAUAUAACUACUGUUGGAUUGAAAAUAGGAUAUUAUUUACAACUACGAAUUUCCCUUAAGGAAUUUACACCUGAUUCUCACUUUACAUAUAUCUUCCUUGGAACCUUUCCAAAAACAAUGUAUUUACGCCUGCUCAAAUUUAUGUAUUUGCACUGCUGAAGUUGAUGAACCGCCAAGUCUUAUUAUUUUCUAUUAGUAUGAUGUGCACUACUAGAGUCAAAAUUUCUUGAGCACAAUAGCAUUUCCAAAAUGCAUAAUACAUAGCCAUGGACUUAACACAUGAAUUUCUUUUGCCAGCUUAUUAACAAAUUUGGCUACAUAUUUUUAUUGGUUCUUCAUAUAUGCUUGCCUGCCGUAGGUGGGCAAGCGAGCGGCAAGCUGCGCCUUAUUCAUGAGCAUCUUUUUUGAUUUGUCUUCCUUUUUUAUGUGUGAUAUCGACAUGUUUUUGCUGCAGACAUGGCUCUUUCCAUUUUUUUAAUUAUAGCAGGGGCGGCAGGGGUUUGGGUGUCUGCUGCUUUCCUCUAAACGUCUGCUGCUUCUUUAUCCGUCUGCCCAUGAAAUCGAGUGUUCAACAGGAAGUACAAUGCUGGGUAGAUAUGACAGGACAUGAUGGAUGAUGACAUUAUCGCGGCCAUCUCAGGCAUGUGGCAAACUCCCUCCUCACACUUGUGCAUGUGGACAAAGUUUUGUUCCUUAGCAGACACGAAGAAACUAGAGUUGCUCUGCCACAUUGCUGGCCAAGCGGCAAUGUGUAGUUACAGCUGUUGGAAAUAGUACUGUUAUAGGUUGCAAUGGGGAAUAAUUACAACGGUUGAUGAGGAUUUAGAAGUGUUAGGUCAUAUUGACUAUAAUUGGAGCGGAAUUGGUUUUGAGCUCACAAUCCUCACAUAAAGGAACAGAGUUUGCAUCUUCUGUCUGAUUUUAUGGAAAUAUCAGAGAAGACCUUAUGGCAUGAUUUGUCUCCUUUACUUCUCUUGAGUUGUUCCAUUUCUUAAAAUCUACUCUGCCCUAUGUUCGCCCCCAACGGCAAAAUCUGAGGCUUCGCUCUCAAGGUUCAGGGAGGCGGUAACACGAGAUGUAGCCUGCAGGGCUGUACGAUUAGCAACAAAGCUGCAUUUUUCAGAGAUGGUGUUAAAUGAUUAAGGAAUCAGGUCUGAAACUGCUAUGCUGAAUCAUUUGUUUUGCUAGCCAUUGCUACACCUUGGAGCCUUCCAAGUGAUUUCUGUGGGAGGGAUUAGUAAGGCAGCGAGCUUGAGAAGUUGAGAAGGGACCGCCAGCUGCCAGGCUGUAGGGAGAAGCGUCGGUUGCUUGCUCGAUACUACAGUACAUAUCAAAUUUGAGGUGAGAGCUCGAUGCAAGCUUCAAUCACAGAGGCAUUUACAGACAGAAGCUUCAGCAGCAUGAGCAACAUCGACAAACUACUUGAUGGGUGCAUGGACCCGGCCAGUUCGUCUGGUGCCUCGGUUUGGGUGUUUAGAGAUGAGCUGGGAUCUGUGACCGGUUCAGGUGCUGACCAUAUGGAGCAUGUGUCUCCACACUGAAGCGGAGGCCUGCCUACAAUCACUAUUUCAGGUUCAAAUCUGGUGGUACUUCUCGCGUUCGAAACUGACUCACAACUUGUGGUGCAAGCGAUCAAGGGAAGCGAGCAAGACUUGGCUCGGAAUAGCGCUAUUUUUAGGUAGGUUAAAUUUCAGAUUUCAUUGGACUUCCGUGGUCUCAGUAUUUCAAUUGCCUUUAGAUCUGUAAUCAAGUGGCGGACGCCACACUAUGACGUUCUAGGUCUCAGACUCAGGAGACAGUAGGCGUGUAGGACUAUAGGAAAGCAACUCAAAAUAUGGUGUGUUCUUUUGCUCCUCUUCGUCAACUAAUAAUUUUUAAAACGGAUAAUUAUUCAAUUUUACUUAA
Non-coding RNA from Lolium perenne, 3064 nucleotides. NCBI's taxonomy places the organism in Eukaryota, Viridiplantae, Streptophyta, Magnoliopsida, Poales, Poaceae. The record is from RefSeq and is a predicted model, not a curated record.